Non-coding RNA from Haliotis rubra (blacklip abalone), 83 nucleotides. Lineage: Eukaryota; Metazoa; Mollusca; Gastropoda; Lepetellida; Haliotidae. The record is from the annotation of a RefSeq genome assembly.
GACGAGGUGGCCGAGUGGUUAAGGCGAUGGACCGUUAAUCCAUUGGGGCCCCCGCGUGGGUUCGAAUCCCAUCCUCGCUGACA